UUAAUUUCUUCAUUAGAUUUAGAUAAAGAACCUUCCAAAAUUUCUUUAUCCUUCUUAAGUUGACCUCAUGAAGCAUUAGCAAAUCCUAACUCUGAAGAUAAGCUAUGAUUCUGUUGCUCCAAGUGGACUUUGUUUUCGUGUAACUCCUCUGUAGUCCCUUGAGCAUUCUCAUACUGAUCCUUCCAAUUCGCUGCUUCAAGUAAUGCAUCCCCAGCUAUCUUCCUAGCUUCGGAGAUA
RNAcentral lists this long non-coding RNA (237 nucleotides) under Nicotiana benthamiana. RNAcentral's name for it is "long non-coding RNA (NBEN_LNC011414)". Lineage: Eukaryota; Viridiplantae; Streptophyta; Magnoliopsida; Solanales; Solanaceae. The record is from RNAcentral.